This is a non-coding RNA of Camellia sinensis, 474 nucleotides long. The record is from RefSeq and is a predicted model, not a curated record. NCBI's taxonomy places the organism in Eukaryota, Viridiplantae, Streptophyta, Magnoliopsida, Ericales, Theaceae.
GAUGUAUGUGUGCUGGGCUAGAGAAACGCACGGCAGAGAGGGAGAGAGAGAGAGAGAGAGAGGGAGAGAGUUUUCCAGAAGAAAGGAAGAAGAAGAGAAGAAGGGCGUUUGGAAGGACACCAAGAUUUAGGCCAAAAAAUUGUGAAAAAAAUAAUUUUAAGGUCACGCGCUAUUGUCUACUUGAUCUGUUUGAUCCGCUUCUGCAACUAUCUGUGAUCAGGCGCAUGACCAAGCUUAGAGGCGUCUACCUGGAAUCAGUUCUUGACAGCCAACCUAUGUGCCUCCCGUGGAGGUUUCGGCCAUGACUAGUGGUUAUGGCUAAGUGCAUAAGUUGAAGUUUUAUUUUCCUGUCCAGUUAGAGAAGUCCUUGUGUAUUGUGUGAAUAAGGCUAAGUCCCUUUUGCCUAGCUUAUAUAUGUAUAUAUAUGAUGAUGUGUAUAUAAGUAUAUAAAAAGGUUAAAAUUUUUCUGUCUCA